CACGUAGGGGGCGAGCGUUGUCCGGAAUCAUUGGGCGUAAAGAGCUCGUAGGCGGUUCAGUAAGUCAGGUGUGAAAGCUCCGAGCUCAACUCGGAGAGGCCACCUGAUACUGCUGUGACUAGAAUCCAGUAGGGGAGUGUGGAACUCCUGGUGUAGCGGUGAAAUGCGCAGAUAUCAGGAGGAACACCAAUGGCGAAGGCAGCACUCUGGGACGUGACUGACGCUGAGACGCGAAAGCGUGGGGAGCAAACAGG
RNAcentral lists this ribosomal RNA (254 nucleotides) under uncultured bacterium. Its description in RNAcentral is "partial 16S ribosomal RNA". It matches the Rfam family "Bacterial small subunit ribosomal RNA", at positions 524 to 776 of the family's 1533-position model. The record is from RNAcentral.